AGUGAACGCUGGCGGUAGGCCUAACACAUGCCAGUCGAACGGCAGCACAGUAAGUGCUUGCUCUUACGGGUGGCGAGUGGCGGACGGGGGAGGAAUACAUCGGAAUCUACUUUUUCGUGGGGGCUAACGUAGGGACACUUACGCUAAUACCGCAUACGACCUACGGGGGAAAGCAUGGGAUCUUCGGACCUUGCGCGAUUGAAUGAGCCGAUGUCGGAUUAGCUAGUUGUCGGGGUAAAGCCCCACCAAGGCGACGAUCCGUAGGUGGUAUGAGCGGUUGAUCGGCAACACGGAACCUAGAAAACGGUCCAGACCCCACGGGAGGGAGGAAGGGGGAAAUUUGGGACAAGGGGCGAAAGCCUGUCCCAGCCAUACCGCGGGGGUGAAGAAGUCCUUCGGGUUGUAAAGCCCUUUUGUUGGGAAAGAAAAGAAGCAGGUUAAUCCCCCGCUGUUCGGCCGGUACCCAAAGAAUAAGCACCGGCUACCUUCUU
Molecule: ribosomal RNA, 491 nt
Filed under: uncultured bacterium
Lineage: Bacteria
Description: partial 16S ribosomal RNA
Rfam family: Bacterial small subunit ribosomal RNA
Source: RNAcentral